GAUGAACGCUAGCGGCAGGCUUAACACAUGCAAGUCGAGGGGUAACGAUAGUGCUUGCACUAGGCGACGACCGGCGCACGGGUGAAUAACGCGUAUGCAACCUACCUACAACAGGGGGAUAGCUUUCGGAAACGAAAAUUAAUACCCCAUAGUACCUUAAUGCCGCAUGGUAUAAAGGUUAAAACUCUGGUGGUUGUAGAUGGGCAUGCGUGCCAUUAGUUUGUUGGUGAGGUAACGGCUCACCAAGACUACGAUGGCUAGGGGGUCUUAAAGGAUGGUCCCCCACACUGGUACUGAGACACGGACCAG
Molecule: ribosomal RNA, 309 nt
Filed under: uncultured bacterium
Lineage: Bacteria
Description: bacterial SSU rRNA
Rfam family: Bacterial small subunit ribosomal RNA
Source: RNAcentral